RNAcentral lists this ribosomal RNA (404 nucleotides) under uncultured bacterium. RNAcentral describes it as "bacterial SSU rRNA". It matches the Rfam family "Bacterial small subunit ribosomal RNA", at positions 355 to 776 of the family's 1533-position model. The record is from RNAcentral.
UGAGGAAUCUUCCACAAUGGGCGAAAGCCUGAUGGAGCGACACCGCGUGAAGGAUGAAGGUCUAACGACUGUAAACUUCUUUUCUGAGGGAGCAUAAUGAGAGUACUUCAGGAAUAAGGGACGGCUAAUCACGUGCCAGCAGCCGCGGUAAUACGUGAGUCCCGAGCAUUACCCGGAAUCACUGGGUGUAAAGGGUUUGUAGGCUGGUAAAUAAGUCAGGCAUUAAAGACCGGAGCUUAACUCCGUGUUCGUGCUUGAAACUAUUUAUCUAGAAUCAGGAAGAGGUAAGCGGAAUUCUAAGUGUAGGGGUGCAAUCCGUAGAUACUUAGAAGAACACCAAAAGCGAAGGCAGCUUACUGGUACUGUAUUGACGCUGAAAAACGAAAGCGUGGGGAGCGAAAAGG